Small nuclear RNA from Rattus norvegicus (Norway rat), 92 nucleotides. Ensembl annotates it as U4 spliceosomal RNA. The record is from Ensembl. NCBI's taxonomy places the organism in Eukaryota, Metazoa, Chordata, Mammalia, Rodentia, Muridae.
AGCUUUGUGCAGUGGCAAUAUCGUAGCCAAUGAGGUUUAUCCAAGGCACGAUUAUUGCUAAUAGAGUGCUCUGGUAAAAAAUAAAAUAAAAU